This 508-nucleotide ribosomal RNA is filed under the name uncultured bacterium. RNAcentral's name for it is "partial 16S ribosomal RNA". It matches the Rfam family "Bacterial small subunit ribosomal RNA", at positions 28 to 523 of the family's 1533-position model. The record is from RNAcentral.
GACGAACGCUGGCGGCGUGCUUAACACAUGCAAGUGGUGCGACGAACCAGGCUUCGGCCUGGGGCAGAGCCGCGAACGGGUGAGUAACACGUGGGCAACCUGCCCUGUUGAUCGGGACAACCCGGGGAAACCCGGGCUAAUACCGAAUGUGGUGCCGGCUCAUGAGAGCCGUCACGAAAGGUAGCUUCGGCCUCCGGCCGAGGAUGAGCCCGCGGCGGAUUAGCUUGUUGGUUGGGUAACGGCCUACCAAGGCGACGAUCCGUAGCUGGUCUGAGAGGACGAUCAGCCACACUGGGACUGAGACACGGCCCAGACUCCUACGGGAGGCAGCAGUGGGGAAUCUUGCGCAAUGGGCGAAAGCCUGACGCAGCGACGCCGCGUGAGGGAAGAAGGCUUUCGGGUUGUAAACCUCUUUCAGGAGGGACGAAGCCACUCGGGUGAAUAGCCCAGAGGGUGACGGUACCUCCAGAAGAAGCCCCGGCUAACUACGUGCCAGCCGCCGCCGUAA